AGUGAACGCUGGCGGUAGACCUAACACAUGCAAGUCGAACGGCAGCACAGUAAGAGCUUGCUCUUACGGGUGGCGAGUGGCGGACGGGUGAGGAAUACAUCGGAAUCUACUUUUUCGUGGGGGAUAACGUAGGGAAACUUACGCUAAUACCGCAUACGACCUACGGGUGAAAGCAGGGGAUCUUCGGACCUUGCGCGAUUGAAUGAGCCGAUGUCGGAUUAGCUAGUUGGCGGGGUAAAGGCCCACCAAGGCGACGAUCCGUAGCUGGUCUGAGAGGAUGAUCAGCCACACUGGAACUGAGACACGGUCCAGACUCCUACGGGAGGCAGCAGUGGGGAAUAUUGGACAAUGGGCGCAAGCCUGAUCCAGCCAUACCGCGUGGGUGAUGAAGGCCUUCGGGUUGUAAAGCCCUUUUGUUGGGAAAGAAAAGCAGCAGGUUAAUACCCCGCUGUUCUGACGGUACCCAAAGAAUAAGCACCGGCUAACUUCGUG
RNAcentral lists this ribosomal RNA (492 nucleotides) under uncultured bacterium. RNAcentral describes it as "partial 16S ribosomal RNA". It matches the Rfam family "Bacterial small subunit ribosomal RNA", at positions 29 to 507 of the family's 1533-position model. The record is from RNAcentral.